AAAAGCUGAGGCGGUAUGAGAUGGAUCCGUGUCUGAUUAGCUGGUUGGCGGGGUAGAGGCCCACCAAGGCGACGAUCAGUAGCCGACCUGAGAGGGUGGCCGGCCACAUUGGGACUGAGACACGGCCCAAACUCCUACGGGAGGCAGCAGUGGGGGAUAUUGCACAAUGGGGGAAACCCUGAUGCAGCAACGCCGCGUGAGUGAAGAAGUAUUUCGGUAUGUAAAGCUCUAUCAGCAGGGAAGAGAAUGACGGUACCUGACUAAGAAGCCCCGGCUAACUACGUGCCAGCAGCCGCGGUAAUACGUAGGGGGCGAGCGUUAUCCGGAUUUACUGGGUGUAAAGGGAGCGUAGACGGCUGGUCAAGUCUGAAGUGAAAGCCCGGGGCUUAACCCCGGAACGGCUUUGGAAACUGAGCAGCUAGAGUGCUGGAGAGGUAAGCGGAAUUCCUAGUGUAGCGGUGAAAUGCGUAGAUAUUAGGAGGAACACCAGUGGCGAAGGCGGCUUACUGGACAGUAACUGACGUUGAGGCUCGAAAGCGUGGGGAGCAAACAGGAUUAGAUACCCUGGUAGUCCACGCGGUAAACGAUGAAUGCUAGGUGUCGGGAGGCAAAG
This 613-nucleotide ribosomal RNA is filed under the name uncultured bacterium. Its description in RNAcentral is "bacterial SSU rRNA". It matches the Rfam family "Bacterial small subunit ribosomal RNA", at positions 202 to 835 of the family's 1533-position model. The record is from RNAcentral.